GAUGAACGCUAGCUACAGGCUUAACACAUGCAAGUCGAGGGGUAACAUGGCGGGAGCUUGCUCCUGCUGAUGACGACCGGCGCACGGGUGAGUAACGCGUAUCCAACCUGCCCAUGACUCAGGGAUAACCUUCCGAAAGGGAGCCUAAUACCUGAUGUUCUGCGACGAUGGCAUCAGAAUUGCAGCAAAGAUUCAUCGGUCAUGGAUGGGGAUGCGUCUGAUUAGAUAGUAGGCGGGGUAACGGCCCACCUAGUCAACGAUCAGUAGGGGUUCUGAGAGGAAGGUCCCCCACAUUGGAACUGAGACACGGUCCAAACUCC
Molecule: ribosomal RNA, 320 nt
Filed under: uncultured Prevotella sp.
Lineage: Bacteria; Pseudomonadati; Bacteroidota; Bacteroidia; Bacteroidales; Prevotellaceae
Description: bacterial SSU rRNA
Rfam family: Bacterial small subunit ribosomal RNA
Source: RNAcentral